This 373-nucleotide long non-coding RNA is filed under the name Mus caroli (Ryukyu mouse). RNAcentral's name for it is "lncRNA (MGP_CAROLIEiJ_G0004057.1)". Lineage: Eukaryota; Metazoa; Chordata; Mammalia; Rodentia; Muridae. The record is from RNAcentral.
AGGAGUCUGGGCUGUGGAGUGCCCUUUCAACCCUAGAUUCUACAAGUCUGGGAGCUUCUGCAAAUAUUCCUGUAUUUGGAUGGAACACAAUUGAAAUCCCUUCCAGAAUGUCAAGUGCCCCCACCAGAGGACCUGCCCCAGGAUCCCAGGCAUGCUCGUGCCCUAGCUGGAGAACUGAGGUUGGAUAGGAGCUGGAGCUAGAAGAGAGGCUGAGUCUAAAGGGAAGCGAUUAUAGAGAUCUCAUGGAGACUCAGUGGAACACAAGAGGGGAAACUCCAUUGGCCUCAGAAAGCCUCAGUGAACUAGAACUUGGAACGCAUCAAUUAUAAGAUCUUUGGUCUUGUGUGAUGCCUGCAAUGUGAUGGGUAGAGCA